GAGUUUGAUCCUGGCUCAGAAUGAACUGCUGGCUGGCAUGCUCUAACACAUGCAAGUCGAACUGAAGGCUUCUGGCCUUAGUGGCUGCACUGGGUGCUGUAACUGCUGUGGGAAUCUGCCCUCAGGUUCGGAAUAACAGCGAGAAAUUGCUGCUAAUACCGGAUGAUAUCGCGAGAUCAAAGAUUUAUCGCCUGAGGAUGAGCCCGCGUAGGAUUAGCUAGUUGGUGUGGUAAAGGCGCACCAAGGCGACGAUCCUUAGCUGGUCUGAGAGGAUGAUCAGCCACACUGGGACUGAGACACGGCCCAGACUCCUACGGGAGGCAGCAGUGGGGAAUAUUGGACAAUGGGCGAAAGCCUGAUCCAGCAAUGCCGCGUGAGUGAUGAAGGCCUUAGGGUUGUAAAGCUCUUUUACCCGGGAUGAUAAUGACAGUACCGGGAGAAUAAGCUCCGGCUAACUCCGUGCCAGCAGCCGCGGUAAUACGGAGGGAGCUAGCGUUAUUCGGAAUUACUGGGCGUAAAGCGCACGUAGGCGGCUUUGUAAGUUAGAGGUGAAAGCCUGGAGCUCAACUCCAGAAUUGCCUUUAAGACUGCAUCGCUUGAAUCCAGGAGAGGUGAGUGGAAUUCCGAGUGUAGAGGUGAAAUUCGUAGAUAUUCAGGAAGAACACCAGUGGCGAAGGCAGGCUCACUGGACUGGUAUUGACGCUGAGGUGCGAAAGCAGUGGGGAGCAAACAGGAUUAGAUACCCUGAGUAGUC
This 754-nucleotide ribosomal RNA is filed under the name uncultured Sphingomonas sp. Its description in RNAcentral is "bacterial SSU rRNA". It matches the Rfam family "Bacterial small subunit ribosomal RNA", at positions 9 to 795 of the family's 1533-position model. The record is from RNAcentral. Lineage: Bacteria; Pseudomonadati; Pseudomonadota; Alphaproteobacteria; Sphingomonadales; Sphingomonadaceae.